UGCUUGUCUCAAAGAUUAAGCCAUGCAUGUCUCAGUACAAGCCACAUUAAGGUGAAACCGCGAAAGGCUCAUUAAAUCAGUUAUGGUUCCUUAGAUCGUACCCACAUUUACUUGGAUAACUGUGGUAAUUCUAGAGCUAAUACAUGCAAACAGAGUUCCGACCGGAGACGGGAGGAAUGCUUUUAUUAGAUCAAAACCAAUCGGCGGCGGGCGCGUUUCANCGCGCUCUCGCCGCUCAACUUGGUGACUCUGAAUAACUUUCGGCUGAUCGCACGGUCUUGCACCGGCGACGCAUCUUUCAAAUGUCUGCCUUAUCAACUGUCGAUGGUAGGUUCUGCGCCUACCAUGGUCGUAACGGGUAACGGGGAAUCAGGGUUCGAUUCCGGAGAGGGAGCCUGAGAAACGGCUACCACAUCCAAGGAAGGCAGCAGGCGCGCAAAUUACCCACUCCCGGCACGGGGAGGUAGUGACGAAAAAUAACGAUACGGGACUCAUCCGAGGCCCCGUAAUCGGAAUGAGUACACUUUAAAUCCUUUAACGAGGAUCAAUUGGAGGGCAAGUCUGGUGCCAGCAGCCGCGGUAAUUCCAGCUCCAAUA
RNAcentral lists this ribosomal RNA (597 nucleotides) under Liopterus haemorrhoidalis. Its description in RNAcentral is "SSU rRNA". It matches the Rfam family "Eukaryotic small subunit ribosomal RNA", at positions 29 to 596 of the family's 1831-position model. Lineage: Eukaryota; Metazoa; Arthropoda; Insecta; Coleoptera; Dytiscidae. The record is from RNAcentral.